Long non-coding RNA from Aedes aegypti (yellow fever mosquito), 806 nucleotides. RefSeq lists it as uncharacterized. The transcript has 3 exons. The record is from RefSeq and is a predicted model, not a curated record. Lineage: Eukaryota; Metazoa; Arthropoda; Insecta; Diptera; Culicidae.
GAAAAAUGGAGCUAGUUUGAAACAACUAAAAAUUUGGUUGACUAUCAAACUAUAAUUAUGGUUGUUUCAAAAUGAUUAAUUAUUUGUUUCUAUCUUGCGGUAUAAGUUAAAACAAACUGUUUUAUUAGGUUAUUUCUACACAAUAAAAUGUUUGUUUCUAAAUGGAUUUUAGUUGAUUCCAGCUGAGAAAAUUGUUAUCUUCAACUAAAUAUUAGUUUGUUCUCACCAAAACAUAGCUUGAAUACAACGGAUCGUUCUGAAAAAAAUAAACUACUAUCUUAGGUUGACUUUAAUCUUUUUUAUCGGUAAUAAUAACUUGAUUUUUUGGUUGGGCGAAUAACAAACUUAAUAAGAAUUCAAAACAAACCCAUUUCUUAGUUUGUUUGAAACGCUGUCUUCCGCUCUCGUCCAUUCAUUUUAGGUUUGUGUUUUUUAGUUCGACAUGUUGUGGCAAAUCAUUGUCGUUCGUUGAUUGGCAGUGUUAGGUGGCAAGCAAGCGGCUCAUAUUUCAAUUCACCAUGUUGCAAGUUUAUAUGGAACGCCGCCUAACAAGAAGGAGCAAAAUGGAUGCGGAUUGGCAUUCACAACAUUAAUUGAAAUCCAGCUUCAGCCCUUGCUUCACCCGAAAAUAUGAUUGUAGCAGUAUAUGUUAUUGUGUGGAAAAAUGUCUCAAUAUACUGCAUUUUAUACAACUUCGAAUGAAGGAUUAAUGGAGGAUUUGUUUAAGUUGUUCUGUUAGGAUCUGUAUCUACUAGCUCAUUCACCAGCCACUUGCAACGAAAAUCAAUUUUGUAAUCCAAUAUAUA